Molecule: ribosomal RNA, 2900 nt
Filed under: Klebsiella pneumoniae
Lineage: Bacteria; Pseudomonadati; Pseudomonadota; Gammaproteobacteria; Enterobacterales; Enterobacteriaceae
Also listed under: 7 other names
Description: bacterial LSU rRNA
Rfam family: Bacterial large subunit ribosomal RNA
Source: RNAcentral
UUAAGCGACUAAGCGUACACGGUGGAUGCCCUGGCAGUCAGAGGCGAUGAAGGACGUGCUAAUCUGCGAAAAGCGUCGGUAAGGUGAUAUGAACCGUUAUAACCGGCGAUGUCCGAAUGGGGAAACCCAGUGCAAUUCGUUGCACUAUCGUUAACUGAAUACAUAGGUUAACGAGGCGAACCGGGGGAACUGAAACAUCUAAGUACCCCGAGGAAAAGAAAUCAACCGAGAUUCCCCCAGUAGCGGCGAGCGAACGGGGAGCAGCCCAGAGUCUGAAUCAGCUUGUGUGUUAGUGGAACGGUCUGGAAAGUCCGACGGUACAGGGUGAUAGUCCCGUACACCAAAAUGCACAGGCUGUGAACUCGAAGAGUAGGGCGGGACACGUGGUAUCCUGUCUGAAUAUGGGGGGACCAUCCUCCAAGGCUAAAUACUCCUGACUGACCGAUAGUGAACCAGUACCGUGAGGGAAAGGCGAAAAGAACCCCGGCGAGGGGAGUGAAAAAGAACCUGAAACCGUGUACGUACAAGCAGUGGGAGCACCUUCGGGUGUGACUGCGUACCUUUUGUAUAAUGGGUCAGCGACUUAUAUUCUGUAGCAAGGUUAACCGUAUAGGGGAGCCGCAGGGAAACCGAGUCUUAACUGGGCGUUAAGUUGCAGGGUAUAGACCCGAAACCCGGUGAUCUAGCCAUGGGCAGGUUGAAGGUUGGGUAACACUAACUGGAGGACCGAACCGACUAAUGUUGAAAAAUUAGCGGAUGACUUGUGGCUGGGGGUGAAAGGCCAAUCAAACCGGGAGAUAGCUGGUUCUCCCCGAAAGCUAUUUAGGUAGCGCCUCGUGAAUUCAUCUUCGGGGGUAGAGCACUGUUUCGGCUAGGGGGUCAUCCCGACUUACCAACCCGAUGCAAACUACGAAUACCGAAGAAUGUUAUCACGGGAGACACACGGCGGGUGCUAACGUCCGUCGUGAAGAGGGAAACAACCCAGACCGCCAGCUAAGGUCCCAAAGUCAUGGUUAAGUGGGAAACGAUGUGGGAAGGCACAGACAGCCAGGAUGUUGGCUUAGAAGCAGCCAUCAUUUAAAGAAAGCGUAAUAGCUCACUGGUCGAGUCGGCCUGCGCGGAAGAUGUAACGGGGCUAAACCAUGCACCGAAGCUGCGGCAGCGACACUAUGUGUUGUUGGGUAGGGGAGCGUUCUGUAAGCCUGCGAAGGUGUGCUGUGAGGCAUGCUGGAGGUAUCAGAAGUGCGAAUGCUGACAUAAGUAACGAUAAAGCGGGUGAAAAGCCCGCUCGCCGGAAGACCAAGGGUUCCUGUCCAACGUUAAUCGGGGCAGGGUGAGUCGACCCCUAAGGCGAGGCCGAAAGGCGUAGUCGAUGGGAAACAGGUUAAUAUUCCUGUACUUGGUGUUACUGCGAAGGGGGGACGGAGAAGGCUAUGUUAGCCGGGCGACGGUUGUCCCGGUUUAAGCAUGUAGGCUGGUUGUCCAGGCAAAUCCGGAUAAUCAAGGCUGAGGUGUGAUGACGAGGCACUACGGUGCUGAAGUAACAAAUGCCCUGCUUCCAGGAAAAGCCUCUAAGCAUCAGGUAACAUCAAAUCGUACCCCAAACCGACACAGGUGGUCAGGUAGAGAAUACCAAGGCGCUUGAGAGAACUCGGGUGAAGGAACUAGGCAAAAUGGUGCCGUAACUUCGGGAGAAGGCACGCUGGUGUGUAGGUGAAGUCCCUGCGGAUGGAGCUGAGACCAGUCGAAGAUACCAGCUGGCUGCAACUGUUUAUUAAAAACACAGCACUGUGCAAACACGAAAGUGGACGUAUACGGUGUGACGCCUGCCCGGUGCCGGAAGGUUAAUUGAUGGGGUUAUCCGUAAGGAGAAGCUCUUGAUCGAAGCCCCGGUAAACGGCGGCCGUAACUAUAACGGUCCUAAGGUAGCGAAAUUCCUUGUCGGGUAAGUUCCGACCUGCACGAAUGGCGUAAUGAUGGCCAGGCUGUCUCCACCCGAGACUCAGUGAAAUUGAACUCGCUGUGAAGAUGCAGUGUACCCGCGGCAAGACGGAAAGACCCCGUGAACCUUUACUAUAGCUUGACACUGAACAUUGAGCCUUGAUGUGUAGGAUAGGUGGGAGGCUUUGAAGCGUGGACGCCAGUCUGCGUGGAGCCAACCUUGAAAUACCACCCUUUAAUGUUUGAUGUUCUAACGUUGGCCCCUUACCGGGGUUGCGGACAGUGUCUGGUGGGUAGUUUGACUGGGGCGGUCUCCUCCCAAAGCGUAACGGAGGAGCACGAAGGUUAGCUAAUCCUGGUCGGACAUCAGGAGGUUAGUGCAAUGGCAUAAGCUAGCUUGACUGCGAGCGUGACGGCGCGAGCAGGUGCGAAAGCAGGUCAUAGUGAUCCGGUGGUUCUGAAUGGAAGGGCCAUCGCUCAACGGAUAAAAGGUACUCCGGGGAUAACAGGCUGAUACCGCCCAAGAGUUCAUAUCGACGGCGGUGUUUGGCACCUCGAUGUCGGCUCAUCACAUCCUGGGGCUGAAGUAGGUCCCAAGGGUAUGGCUGUUCGCCAUUUAAAGUGGUACGCGAGCUGGGUUUAGAACGUCGUGAGACAGUUCGGUCCCUAUCUGCCGUGGGCGCUGGAGAAUUGAGGGGGGCUGCUCCUAGUACGAGAGGACCGGAGUGGACGCAUCACUGGUGUUCGGGUUGUCAUGCCAAUGGCACUGCCCGGUAGCUAAAUGCGGAAGAGAUAAGUGCUGAAAGCAUCUAAGCACGAAACUUGCCCCGAGAUGAGUUCUCCCUGAGACUUUAAGUCUCCUGAAGGAACGUUAAAGACGAUGACGUUGAUAGGCCGGGUGUGUAAGCGCAGCGAUGCGUUGAGCUAACCGGUACUAAUGAACCGUGAGGCUUAACCUU